RNAcentral lists this long non-coding RNA (473 nucleotides) under Fukomys damarensis (Damara mole-rat). RNAcentral's name for it is "lncRNA (ENSFDAG00000033143.1)". Lineage: Eukaryota; Metazoa; Chordata; Mammalia; Rodentia; Bathyergidae. The record is from RNAcentral.
GUUUCCUUUCCCGGGGAGUAAAUGAGCCAUGAGGUCCCCGGCAGAGGCCUUGGCAGGAUGGUUUCACUGCAGGGCCGGGGCAAGACAGCACUGAAGAUAGAAGUGACAAUGACAGGCGGCCCGACAGACACUACCCAACCCAGGGCCCGGCCCGGAGCAAGGGGACAGAGUGGUCCCAUCUCAGAGGCAGGAGACGCUGGGCCGCCAAGCUGACCUCCAGGUCCUCCCUCUGGUGGCAGGUGGCGUCCCGCCCCGCCCGGCCCUGCGGAGCCCUGAGGACGCUGCGAGUUGAGCACCUCUCCCUGCAGAAUGAGAGGACUCAGGGCCCUGGACUCCCAUUCCAGUGCUCUUGCUGCAGACUCUGGAGCAGUGGCUGCCUGUGCACGGUCUGUGCCCUCGCGGGGCUGGAGGUGAGUCAGGAAUAGUGGCCGCUGCAGAUGGGAGAUCAGGUGGACCAGGCCGCGUGUGGCCGC